AGAGUUUGAUCCUGGCUCAGAUUGAACGCUGGCGGCAGGCUUAACACAUGCAAGUCGAGCGGUAACAGAUCUAGCUUGCUAGAUGCUGACGAGCGGCGGACGGGUGAGUAACGCGUAGAAAACUGCCCAGUAGUGGGGGAUAGCCCAGAGAAAUUUGGAUUAAUACCGCAUACGCCCUACGGGGGAAAGGGGGCUUCGGCUCUCGCUAUUGGAUGUGUCUGCGUGGGAUUAGCUAGUUGGUGAGGUAAGGGCUCACCAAGGCGACGAUCCCUAGCUGGUCUGAGAGGAUGAUCAGCCACACUGGGACUGAGACACGGCCCAGACUCCUACGGGAGGCAGCAGUGGGGAAUAUUGCACAAUGGGCGCAAGCCUGAUGCAGCCAUGCCGCGUGUGUGAAGAAGGCUUUCGGGUUGUAAAGCACUUUCAGUGAGGAGGAAAAGUUAACGGUUAAUACCCGUUAGCCCUGACGUACUCACAGAAGAAGCACCGCUAACU
Molecule: ribosomal RNA, 495 nt
Filed under: uncultured bacterium
Lineage: Bacteria
Description: bacterial SSU rRNA
Rfam family: Bacterial small subunit ribosomal RNA
Source: RNAcentral